Cordylochernes scorpioides is the source of this 73-nucleotide non-coding RNA. The record is from the annotation of a GenBank genome assembly. NCBI's taxonomy places the organism in Eukaryota, Metazoa, Arthropoda, Arachnida, Pseudoscorpiones, Chernetidae.
GACGGGUAGCCUAGUGGACAUGGCAUCUGCCCGGUAAGCGGAACACUGUGGGUUCGAUUCCCAUCCCUGGACA